Molecule: ribosomal RNA, 421 nt
Filed under: uncultured bacterium
Lineage: Bacteria
Description: bacterial SSU rRNA
Rfam family: Bacterial small subunit ribosomal RNA
Source: RNAcentral
UCGAGAAUCUUCGUCAAUGGGCGCAAGCCUGAACGAGCGACGCCGCGUGCGGGAUGAAGGCCUUCGGGUUGUAAACCGCUGUCAGUGGGGAGGAAGGCUCCGUGAAGAGCGGGGUUUGACCUAUCCGCAGAGGAAGUACGGGCUAAGUUCGUGCCAGCAGCCGCGGUAACACGAACCGUACAAACGUUAUUCGGAAUUACUGGGCUUAAAGGGUGCGUAGGCGGCUCAGAAAGUUGGGUGUGAAAUCCCUCGGCUCAACCGAGGAAUUGCGCUCAAAACUACUGAGCUUGAGGGAGACAGAGGUGAGUGGAACUUAGGGUGGAGCGGUGAAAUGCGUUGAUAUCCUAAGGAACACCAGUGGCGAAAGCGACUCACUGGGUCUCUACUGACGCUGAGGCACGAAAGCCAGGGGUGCGAACGG